GAUGAACGCUGGCGGCGUGCCUAAUACAUGCAAGUCGAGCGAACAGACGAGGAGCUUGCUCCUCUGACGUUAGCGGCGGACGGGUGAGUAACACGUGGAUAACCUACCUAUAAGACUGGGAUAACUUCGGGAAACCGGAGCUAAUACCGGAUAAUAUAUUGAACCGCAUGGUUCAAUAGUGAAAGACGGUUUUGCUGUCACUUAUAGAUGGAUCCGCGCCGCAUUAGCUAGUUGGUAAGGUAACGGCUUACCAAGGCAACGAUGCGUAGCCGACCUGAGAGGGUGAUCGGCAACACUGGAACUGAGACACGGUCCAGACUCCUACGGGAGGCAGCAGUAGGGAAUCUUCCGCAAUGGGCGAAAGCCUGACGGAGAAACGCCGCGUGAGUGAUGAAGGUCUUCGGAUCGUAAAACUCUGUUAUUAGGGAAGAACAAAUGUGUAAGUAACUAUGCACGUCUUGACGGUACCUAAUCAGAAAGCCACGGCUAACUACGUG
RNAcentral lists this ribosomal RNA (497 nucleotides) under uncultured bacterium. Its description in RNAcentral is "partial 16S ribosomal RNA". It matches the Rfam family "Bacterial small subunit ribosomal RNA", at positions 28 to 507 of the family's 1533-position model. The record is from RNAcentral.